Molecule: ribosomal RNA, 697 nt
Filed under: uncultured Candidatus Saccharibacteria bacterium
Lineage: Bacteria; Candidatus Saccharimonadota
Description: bacterial SSU rRNA
Rfam family: Bacterial small subunit ribosomal RNA
Source: RNAcentral
AUUAGAUACCCUGGUAGUCCACGCCGUAAACUAUGGAUGCUAGCUGUUAUUCGUAUCGACCCGAGUAGUAGCGAAGCUAACGCGUUAAGCAUCCCGCCUGUGGAGUACGGUCGCAAGACUAAAACAUAAAGGAAUUGACGGGGACCCGCACAAGCGGUGGAGCGUGUUGUUUAAUUCGAUGGUAAGCGAAGAACCUUACCCAGACUUGACAUCCUUGGAAGCACUGCGAAAGCAGAGUGUGCCUCCGGGAACCAAGUGACAGGUGUUGCAUGGCCGUCGUCAGCUCGUGUCGUGAGAUGUUUGGUUAAGUCCAUCAACGAGCGCAACCCUUGUGGCUAGUUGAAUUUUUCUAGUCAGACUGCCCUGGUAACAGGGAGGAAGGAGGGGAUGAUGUCAGGUCAGUAUUACCCUUACGUCUGGGGCUACAAACACGCUACAAUGGCCGGUACAAAGGGCUGCCAAGUCGCGAGACGGAGCAAAUCCCAUCAAAACCGGUCCCAGUUCGGAUUGCAGGCUGAAACUCGCCUGCAUGAAGUCGGAAUCGCUAGUAACGGUAGGUCAGCACACUACCGUGAAUACGUUCCCGGGUCUUGUACACACCGCCCGUCAAACCAUGAAAGUCGCCAAUACCUGACGUCUUAGCUAGUCUAGGCCUAAGGUAGGGGAGAUGAUUGGGGUUAAGUCGUAACAAGGUAUC